Molecule: long non-coding RNA, 1483 nt
Organism: Oryza sativa Japonica Group (Japanese rice)
Lineage: Eukaryota; Viridiplantae; Streptophyta; Magnoliopsida; Poales; Poaceae
Source: RefSeq, a predicted model, not a curated record
ACUAUUUUCAUGGACAGUGCAAGCUCCUGAAUCCUACCUAAUAUAUAGUAUUCCAGGGUUGUCUGUCAGCACAGGGAAGUUGGAUUGGAUUAACUUUCUGCCUCUCUUUUUGAUUUUUUCUUCAGCGUCGCCAUCCUUACCAUCGUUUUUCUACACUAGGAUGGUGCAGGAUCCACGGCUGUUGCUGUGAUUCCAAGAGGCAACUUCGAAAAUACCCAAGCAAGUUGAGUACAUGUGUCCUGUAGGAAUUACAAUAAGCCAUUUUUAUGCGUAACAAUAUGCCUGUUCAUUCUCAUUUCAUAAGCAUAACAAGAAUCAGAAGAGGGUUCAAAGGAAGGAAUUAUAACAGCCAUUAUAUAUGUUUCAUAUAUAUUUUCUUGUGUACUCAGCAGUGCCAGGUCGGAGAACAUGCUGCCUUCACCAACUUGCUGAACCUGAUAGACAUCAGAUGCAUGAACUGGAUGGGCGUGUUUAAUUUCAUGCUUCUAUUCGGUGGCGGAUCUAGAAAAUUGAUUCGUUGGUGCUAGAACGUCUCUAUCGGUGUUACAGUAUAUUAAUUAUACUUAAAUCAUGGUGUUAUAGCAUAUGGAUAAGCAGUUUCGCUAUAGUUUUUUGCUGAAAGUCGUCGGUGUCGCCUGACACCGGUCCUUCUACUGUACAUCUGCCCCUGCUUCUAUUGGAAUUAGGGGUGUAGUACAAGCCUAAACGGGAUGUCUCUUUCAUCAACACACAGUUUGGUUUGACCUCAUAAAAUAGAAAUGGAAAAAUGGAAUAGAACAAAGUGAGUCAUGUAGCUAUAUUAAGGGCCUAGGCUUAGGCUUUUAAGCCAAUUUUUUUGCUUGUAUAUUUCAUAAGCCAGUGACUUUGAAGCCUUAGGUGUAUUGAUGCAGUCAUACCUUCACUUUAAAUAAGCUGAAAAAUUUACUCCGACUUACCUUUUAGCAAUAGUGUAAGAAUAGCUUAUGGCUUUCAAAAACAGGAAAAAAACAGUUGCUUGUUUGUUUAUCAUAGGCUUUUUGGCUUAUAAGUUACUACAUCCGUUUUGUAGUAUGACAUUGUUGACUUUUUACAUAACGUUUGACCAUUCGUUUUAUUCAUAAAUAUAUAAAGUAUAAGCAUGUGAAAUUACAAGUUAAGAUUAUAGUUUUUUUAUUACAGUAUAAAAUAAGUUAUAAUAUAUAUUUUGAAUAAGAUGAAUGAUCAACGUCAAAGUCAGCGAAGUCAUUACUUUUGAAAACGGAGGUAGUACUACUAGCUUAUACAAACAUGGAUUAAGGCUGUGUUUGGCAAUGAUAGUUAGGAACUAAUCCCCCGCAAUAGAGUGACUCAUUAGCGGCCGUUCAGUUUUGGAGCGUGGUUUCAUUGAGGUGGCUCCUCUUCCCCUCCCUGACCACGUCAUGUGCCUUGUGGGGAGGCCGACGCACGCUGACAUGUUAGUGGAUCCCACAAUAUAUUUUAGGAACAAAUGGGUCCCACAUAUUUU